Chania multitudinisentens RB-25 is the source of this 81-nucleotide non-coding RNA. It matches the Rfam family "antisense RNA of dnaA mRNA". NCBI's taxonomy places the organism in Bacteria, Pseudomonadati, Pseudomonadota, Gammaproteobacteria, Enterobacterales, Yersiniaceae. The record is from Rfam.
UUUUGCAUUGGCUUUGCGCGCCAUAAUGCCGUUCCCCACCGCAUGCAACAGGUGAGUUUUACCCAGGCCUGUGCCGCCAUA